This 2843-nucleotide ribosomal RNA is filed under the name Kapaibacterium sp. (SeqCode). RNAcentral's name for it is "Candidatus Kapabacteria bacterium 23S ribosomal RNA". It matches the Rfam family "Bacterial large subunit ribosomal RNA". The record is from RNAcentral. Lineage: Bacteria; Pseudomonadati; Bacteroidota; Eximiradiia; Eximiradiales; Kapaibacteriaceae (SeqCode).
AUAUGGUAAGCUACUAAGGGCAUACGGUGGAUGCCUUGGCACAGGGAGGCGAUGAAGGACGCGGCUACCGGCGAAACGCCUCGGGGAGCUGGAAGCAAGCUUUGAUCCGGGGAUCUCCGAAUGGGGUAACCCGUCCCGAGUAAUGUCGGGACAUCCCGCGCAAGCGGGAGGCGAACCCGGGGAAGUGAAACAUCUCAGUACCCGGAGGAAAAGAAAACGAAUGUGAUUCCCCCAGUAGCGGCGAGCGAAAAGGGAAGAGCCCAAACCUCGAUGCAAUGCAUCGGGGGGUUGUAGGAACCUCACCAAAGCCACACAGAGGGAUAGCAGAAUGGUUUGGAAAAGCCAGCCAUAGAGGGUGACAGCCCCGUAAGCGAAAUCCCAAAGUGGGCGAGAGGUCUCCUGAGUACCGCGGGAUAAGUGGAAUCCUGUGGGAAUCUGCCCGGACCACCGGGUAAGGCUAAAUACUACCCUGUGACCGAUAGUGCACCAGUACCGUGAGGGAAAGGUGAAAAGAACCCUUCAGAAGGGAGUGAAAAGAACCUGAAACCGUAUGCCUACAAACGGUGGGAGCGAAUCUCUUGCCUUCGGGCGAGAGAGGAGUGACCGCGUGCCUUUUGCAUAAUGAGCCAACGAGUUGCUCGUCGCGUGCAAGGGUAAGGCUCUCAGAGCCGCACCCGUAGCGAAAGCGAGUCUGAAUAGGGCGUCGAGUACGCGGCGGCAGACGCGAAACCGGGUGAUCUACCCAUGGCCAGGGUGAAGCGUAGGUAACACUACGUGGAGGCCCGAACCGAUGUGGGUUGAAAACCGCUCGGAUGAGCUGUGGGUAGGGGUGAAAGGCCAAUCAAACUCGGUUAUAGCUCGUACUCCCCGAAAUGUUUUUAGGAACAGCCUCGACUUAGUGUGCCGGAGGUAGGGCUCUGAUUGGGCUAGGGCCGUUAAAGCGGUACCAAACCCAGAUAAACUACAAAUUCCGGACACAUGAUGGUCGGGAGUGAGGCGGUGAGGGAUAAGCUUCAUCGCCGAGAGGGAAACAACCCAGACCGCCGAUUAAGGUCCCCAAGUAGACGCUAACAGAUAAAGGAUGUGGCGUUGCUUAGACAACCAGGAUGUUGGCUUAGAAGCAGCCAUUCAUUUAAAGAGUGCGUAAUAGCUCACUGGUCGAGCGACGCUGCGCCGACAAUUAUCGGGACUAAGCGUCUCACCGAAAUCGCGGGCUCCUUCGGGAGCGGUAGGGGAGCAUUCUGCACUGCGGUGAAGGCGAACCGCGAGGUUCGUUGGAGCGUGCAGAAGAGCAGAUGUUGGCAUAAGUAGCGAUAAUCCAGAUGAGAAUUCUGGACGCCGAAAACCUAAGGUUUCCUCGGGCCAUGUUCGUCAGCCCAGGGUUAGUCGGCCCCUAAGGCGAGUCCGAAAGGAGUAGCCGAUGGGAAGCAGGUUUUUUAAAUAUUCCUGCACCACCGAAAGAGUUAACCACGGGGACGCAGGAGCGUAUUCAGUGGGGGUUAAUGGCUAUCCCCUACUGGAAAAGCACACUGCCGAGAAAAGCCGUGGGUAUCUCUUAGGUGACCGUACCGGAAACCGACACAGGUAGGUGGGUUGAGUAUACUAAGGCGCGCGAGUGAGCCGUGGUUAAGGAACUCGGCAAAUUAGCCCCGUAACUUCGGGAGAAGGGGUGCUCCGAGCAAUCGGAGCCGCAGUGAAAGGGCCCAAGCGACUGUUUAUCAAAAACACAGCACUCUGCUAACUCGUGAAGAGGAAGUAUAGGGUGUGACACCUGCCCGGUGCCGGAAGGUUAAAGGGAGGGGUUAGCCGCAAGGCGAAGCUCCGAACUGAAGCCCCGGUAAACGGCGGCCGUAACUAUAACGGUCCUAAGGUAGCGAAAUUCCUUGUCGGGUAAGUUCCGACCUGCACGAAUGGUGUAACGACUUGGGCACUGUCUCAACCACGGGCUCGGCGAACUUGUGGUACCGGUGAAGACGCCGGUUACCCGCAUAUGGACGGAAAGACCCCGUGCACCUUUACUGCAGCUUACUAUUGGGUUUGGGUGCAGCAUGCGUAGGAUAGGUGGGAGGCUGCGAAGUCCCGAUUGCGGUCGGGAUGGAGCCGACGGUGAAAUACCACCCUUGCUGCAUUCGAAUCCUAACCCGGAGGAGUGGAUCCUCGGGGACAGUGGUAGGUGGGCAGUUUGACUGGGGCGGUCGCCUCCUAAAUGGUAACGGAGGCUUCCAAAGGUCACCUCAGCACGGUCGGUAAUCGUGCGUUGAGUGCAAAGGCAGAAGGUGGCUUGACUGCGAGACCGACAGGUCGAGCAGAUGCGAAAGCAGGGCUUAGUGAUCCGGCGGCUCCGUGUGGAAGGGCCGUCGCUCAAAGGAUAAAAGGUACGCCGGGGAUAACAGGCUGAUCUUGCCCAAGCGUCCACAGCGACGGCAAGGUUUGGCACCUCGAUGUCGGCUCAUCGCAUCCUGGGGCUGGAGAAGGUCCCAAGGGUUCGGCUGUUCGCCGAUUAAAGCGGUACGUGAGCUGGGUUCAGAACGUCGUGAGACAGUUCGGUCCCUAUCCUAUGCGGGCGGAGGACACUUGAGGGGUCCCGUCAUUAGUACGAGAGGACCGUGACGACCGGACCUACGGUGCACCUGUUGUCGCGCCAGCGGCACAGCAGGGUAGCCAUGUCCGGAAAGGAUAAGCGCUGAAAGCAUCUCAAGCGCGAAGCCUGCCCCAAGAUUAGGUGUCCCAUCCCUUCAGGGAGUAAGGACCCUGGGAGAUUACCAGGUCGAUAGGCUCCACGUGUAAGCGCGGCGACGCGUUUAGCGGAGGAGUACUAAUAGUCCGAGGGCUUACCAUAAAAU